CCUACGGGUGGCAGCAGUGAGGAAUAUUGGUCAAUGGACGAGAGUCUGAACCAGCCAAGUAGCGUGAAGGAUGACUGCCCUAUGGGUUGUAAACUUCUUUUAUAUGGGAAUAAAAUGUUCCACGUGUGGGAUUUUGUAUGUACCAUAUGAAUAAGGAUCGGCUAACCCCGUGCCAGCAGCCGCGGUAAUACGGAGGAUCCGAGCGUUUUCCGGUUUUAUUGGGUUUAAAGGGAGCGUAGGUGGAUUAUUAAGUCAGUUGCGAAAGGUUGCGGAUCAACCGUAAAAUUGCAGUUGAAACGGGCAGUCUUGAGGACAGUAGAGGUGGGCGGAAUUCGUGGUGUAGCGGUGAAAUGCUUAGAUAUCACGAAGAAAUCCGAUUGCGAAGGCAGUUCACUGGACUGCAACUGACACUGAGGCUCGAAAGUGUGGGUAUCAAACAGGAUUAGAUACCCCAGUAGUC
This 460-nucleotide ribosomal RNA is filed under the name uncultured bacterium. RNAcentral's name for it is "partial 16S ribosomal RNA". It matches the Rfam family "Bacterial small subunit ribosomal RNA", at positions 338 to 795 of the family's 1533-position model. The record is from RNAcentral.